Molecule: ribosomal RNA, 253 nt
Filed under: uncultured bacterium
Lineage: Bacteria
Description: partial 16S ribosomal RNA
Rfam family: Bacterial small subunit ribosomal RNA
Source: RNAcentral
UACGGAGGUCUCAAGCGUUGUUCGGAUUCAUUGGGCGUAAAGGGUGUGUAGGUGGCGCGCUAAGUCGGGUGUGAAAUUUCGGAGCUUAACUCCGAAACUGCAUUCGAUACUGGCGUGCUUGAGGACUGGAGAGGAGACUGGAAUUCAUGGUGUAGCAGUGAAAUGCGUAGAUAUCGUAAGGAAGACCAGUGGCGAAGGCGGGUCUCUGGACAGUUCCUGACGCUGAGGCACGAAGGUCAGGGGAGCAAACGGG